GAUGAACGCUAGCUACAGGCUUAACACAUGCAAGUCGAGGGGUAACGAGAGGAAAGCUUGCUUUCCUUGUCGACGACCGGCGCACGGGUGAGUAACGCGUAUCCAACCUGCCCCCAACUAGGGAAUAACCUUGCGAAAGUAAGACUAAUACCCUAUAAUUUCCUCAGAUGACAUCUGACGAGGAAUAAAGAUUUAUCGGUUGUGGAUGGGGAUGCGUCUUAUUAGCUUGUUGGCGGGGUAACGGCCCACCAAGGCAACGAGCAGUAGGGGUUCUGAGAGGAAGGUCCCCCACAUUGGAACUGAGACACGGUCCAAACUCCUACGGGAGGCAGCAGUGAGGAAUAUUGGUCAAUGGGCGGAAGCCUGAACCAGCCAAGUAGCGUGCAGGAUGACGGCCCUAUGGGUUGUAAACUGCUUUUAUACAGGAAUAAAGUUAGCCACGUGUGGUUAUUUGUAGGUACUGUAUGAAUAAGGACCGGCUAAUUCCGUGCCAGCCGCCGCCGUAA
Molecule: ribosomal RNA, 506 nt
Filed under: uncultured bacterium
Lineage: Bacteria
Description: partial 16S ribosomal RNA
Rfam family: Bacterial small subunit ribosomal RNA
Source: RNAcentral